Long non-coding RNA from Gallus gallus (chicken), 1440 nucleotides. Lineage: Eukaryota; Metazoa; Chordata; Aves; Galliformes; Phasianidae. The record is from Ensembl.
AGACCUCCAGAAUAGAAUCAAAAGCACUGUUCCCUACAGUCUGCUGUGCAGUCGUAGCUGUCGUGGCUGUGAAUACAUCAGAACGAUUGCUGCACAAUCCAUCUUUCUCUGAAUUUCCAAAAUACUAACGUGCUGCAGGAUCAUGUGAACGGGCUGAGUUCAUACAAGCAGCCAUGAUGACGUAGAGAUGUAGAACUGCUCCGGUCCUUCAUGUUGUUCAAUGUCUGCUUCUUCCAACUGCCUUUUUCUCCUGCAAAAGCCAGAAGAGGAUUGUAGUGGCAGGGGAGGUGUGCUGUUCUAGAGUUAUGCUUGCAGACUGAUGAAAGAGAACCAAGUGACAACUGAGUACUCCUCUGAAGAAACACUCCCAACCUGGAGAGGAAGAGUUGAUUUACUGAGGCAUGAAAAACUACCAAUAAAAAAACUUGUCCCCGUUUCUGCAUGACGUGGAACUAAGGAGAAUCAGGUUUUAUCUUACUACAAAACAAAAAUAAGUAAAAAUCAUUGGACAAAGACUGACAGUGAGAGGCUGCAGUUUGGGAGAAUUGUUUAUGGAACAUAUUCUUGCUGGAUUUCUUCCUGUAAAUUUCCUCCACAGUCUCUUAUGAGGAAUGAUCAGAUUUCUCUCCAUGGGACUACGCAGUAUAGCUUUGCUUUGUUUGUUACUUGAUGAUGACUUUAACAAUGCAUGCUGAUAACUGUGCAUUUCAAAGGUUCACUCCAAGAGAAACAGAGACUGAUAUUUGAGUAAUACUAGCAAAAGCCCAGAUGAGAAAUGAAUCUACUGAACUCCUUGUUGGGUGCUGAAAUAUAAAUUUUGGCAUGAUUUUCACAGGGCUGUUAUGUUCUGACCCUGAAAAAAAUGUACUCAGCAACUCUAGCAGAGAAAGGAAUAGAGAACAGCUUGCACCACUGAAAGUACCUAUUACAGCGUCAUUAGUUUGUGCAUGCAUGUUUGCCUUGGCAUCUAGCAGGAAAAAAAACUCCUAAUAGCUGCUACCAAGCAAUUCCUUGAAAAAAAUAAUCAAAACAGAUGGCGAAUCCUGAACUUUACCUGAACAGUUCAACUUAUCCAACGGAAUGGGAGACAAACUCAGCAGCAUGGUUAGAAAGUCCAUGUAUGAGGGAGGCUUGGCUGUCCUUCUGGGCAAUGUGACUGCUGUAUAUGAACCUUCUGGUGUUAAUGGUCUGAAACAUAACAUUACAAAGUGCACUUACGAGAAAAACUUGAAGUUCUUCAAUGUCUCAGCAGGGACUGGCUGUAGCACCAAGCUUUGUGUUUCCAAGCCUCAGAAGUCUGUACACCUUCAGAAUGUCUGGGCUAUUCCUCUGACGUGGAACAAAACCCUAAACUGUUUUGGUGAUGUCAGUAUCCACAUACUUUAUAAAGCUCUCCUUUGUUUGCUUUUCCUCCUAAUACAAUAAAUCACUUUGAGAACU